AACGCUAGCUACAGGCUUAACACAUGCAAGUCGAGGGGCAGCAUGGUCUUAGCUUGCUAAGGCUGAUGGCGACCGGCACACGGGUGAGUAACACGUAUCCAACCUGCCGUCUACUCUUGGCCAGCCUUCUGAAAGGAAGAUUAAUCCAGGAUGGGAUCAUGAGUUCACAUGUCCGCAUGAUUAAAGGUAUUUUCCGGUAGACGAUGGGGAUGCGUUCCAUUAGAUAGUAGGCGGGGUAACGGCCCACCUAGUCAACGAUGGAUAGGGGUUCUGAGAGGAAGGUCCCCCACAUUGGAACUGAGACACGGUCCAAACUCCUACGGGAGGCAGCAGUGAGGAAUAUUGGUCAAUGGGCGAUGGCCUGAACCAGCCAAGUAGCGUGAAGGAUGACUGCCCUAUGGGUUGUAAACUUCUUUUAUAAAGGAAUAAAGUCGGGUAUGCAUACCCGUUUGCAUGUACUUUAUGAAUAAGGAUCGGCUAACUCCGUGCCAGCAGCCGCGGUAAUACGGAGGAUCCGAGCGUUAUCCGGAUUUAUUGGGUUUAAAGGGAGCGUAGAUGGAUGUUUAAGUCAGUUGUGAAAGUUUGCGGCUCAACCGUAAAAUUGCAGUUGAUACUGGAUGUCUUGAGUGCAGUUGAGGCAGGCGGAAUUCGUGGUGUAGCGGUGAAAUGCUUAGAUAUCACGAAGAACUCCGAUUG
This 696-nucleotide ribosomal RNA is filed under the name uncultured bacterium. Its description in RNAcentral is "bacterial SSU rRNA". It matches the Rfam family "Bacterial small subunit ribosomal RNA", at positions 32 to 715 of the family's 1533-position model. The record is from RNAcentral.